Molecule: long non-coding RNA, 1293 nt
Filed under: Equus caballus (horse)
Lineage: Eukaryota; Metazoa; Chordata; Mammalia; Perissodactyla; Equidae
Description: lncRNA (ENSECAG00000048177.1)
Source: RNAcentral
CAUCCUACCGUGCUCUGUGUUCCCCCAUGAGUCAGUGCCUUGUUUCAGGGUCAAGGUGUAUCAGCAAAGAGAAGAGGUCAGCUCACUCUCAAGGGAGACAAGAACAAAAGGGGUCUGCAGUCUUAUGAACCCUGAGGCUGGAGGGAGGAAGCAGAGAGAGGAUUAGGAGUAGAAAAUUACUGAGUACUGAGUUAGAAGGAGAAAAAAUGUCUUCGAGUCUACCUCUCCUCAAUAAAGAGGUCUGAGUAGAGGCAACUUACAAAGGCCUCAGCGAAAGGCCACAAAUAAAGAGGGCUCCACCUGAGGACACUGGGGUCAAGAACACAGCUGUAUAAGUUUAAGAGCUUGGCCCACCAGUUGCAGUUGCCUGAAACUCCCUUCAGAAACUGUAAUUCAUUCUGUCCGCACCAAGUCAGCUGUGACAAAGCCAGCUCUCCCCGAGGCCUGCCAGCCUUUCAAAUAUCGUUCCAUUUUCUGCAGGCCUUAAUUAUUUCUGAUAAGGGCAAUGGUGAAGGCAUGCAUAUCCCAACUGACCUCUUGGAUUACAUCUUGAUAAAAAGUAACAGUGUUUUACCACCACACUUCAUGCCACAGGUAAUUUCCUUUGGAUCCUUAGAGAGUCCAGCAAUUUUAUAUUUUUCACUUGAGGGAGCCACUUCUGGUAUUAAAACAAAACAAAAAUAAAACACCAACCAAAAAAGUCAAUGCCUUAUUUUUCAAAGUUACAUCCAUCCAAAGACUUGCUCUGGUCAAACCUAGAACAGCUGUAAAAUCUAAAUGAAGAGUUAGAGUUAAAUAUUUCCUAAUGACAUGCUUUUCGAUACUGUCUGUUCAUUUGCUGCAUUUGGUAAUGUGCCGCUGAAUAUGUAAAAACAAGUUAGUUUCACUGUAUUACUCUGAAAAGAUGCCAUGUGUUGGUAAAGAUCAUAGAAACUUGCUUGUAUUGGCUUCCAGAAAUAUAUUAAAGAAAUGAAAACAUUUAAUCUGUGAAUGAAUUUUAAAUGUAUCUCAUUGCUGGUCAUAUUCUGUUUUAUUUUGGUUUGUUAAUGUGUAAAGUAUUGAAACCAAGGAGGUUUACUUUGAAGCAUUGUGAAAUAUAUGACAUUAUUUAUGACAGAAAAAUAAUCAUUGCCAUCACUGUUGCACAAUUGUGCUUCCGUGCCCUUCAGAGGCUGUUAUAAUGCUCCCUUCCUGGCUACUAUUGGGAGAAGAAUCCUUUAAGCUCAGACAGUGACUAUCUUAUGCCCAGAUAAAAUGAUGAAAAGUAAACCUAAACCGAGUGUUUGUCUCCAU